Long non-coding RNA from Triticum aestivum (bread wheat), 1716 nucleotides. RefSeq lists it as uncharacterized. Lineage: Eukaryota; Viridiplantae; Streptophyta; Magnoliopsida; Poales; Poaceae. The transcript has 3 exons. The record is from RefSeq and is a predicted model, not a curated record.
UCUCCCAAAUUCCGUCUACGCCCUACCUCGCCGACGGCCAGUGCCUUGCCAGAACCCUCGAUAGUCUCCUUCCGUGCGUCCGAGGUGGUGGUGCACACAAGAGAGACGGCACACGAAAGGUGCUCAUGGAGGUCACGACCGACGUAAGAUAGGGGAAAGGAGCAUUGCAGCCGCACUUGGCCGGCAACAGACUAUGCGCGCGGCGGGAGGUGGCCAAUUUUCACUGCUGGCUAACCUAUCCGGCUCGCCCCAUGGAGGUGGACAGCCAUUGGGACUUGGGAGGUCACGGCGGGGCUUCAACGUUCUUGCCUCUGGACGGACCGGACGAUCAUCCGUGGCUUUUAUGGCUCCGCUGCCUGGAGGCGUUCGUCACCGGGCGAGGUCGGCCUUGCUCCCAUUGCUGCUGUCCAUGGCGGCCGAGAUGGACAUGGCAAACUGCGGCUAUGUCGCAUCCUUGCCGCGGUGAGAUGAGCCGAGGCGAGGAAGGUGGAGCGCACGGGAGCACGUGAGGGGAGGAGAUGAUGAAACAGCCGACCUACUGCAUGCGUGGGGCAGGAGAUGGGGCCGGAGAACCAAAGUAGCAUCAAGAAUAAUAGAUCCUUUCCUACAGCUGGGCGACUAUUUCGUCAGACGCAAGAGCUUCCGCGCUUGGCCGAACACCGAGGCUCCUCGACUCUGCGGAGGUGUUCAAUAAUCAAGACCCACGCAUACUAUGAUUUGGGCAUCGGUGUCCCGCAGACCGGCACCAUCAGCUUCCCGCAAUCAUGCCUUCAACGAGCCAUUCGUGUCCGACACCCUGUUCCUUGCAAUCGGUGAGUUCAGCAUACAAUCUUCAGAUUAACCAGCUUCUAUGUUCUGAUGUUCUAGACAAACAAUGACAAUGAUGACUUUUUGUUCUUAGUACUAACUAACGUUUCACCGAACAAAAAUACUGUUUUUGCUUCUUGAAAGUUCUUUCUGGUUGUUUUCAGUCUUGGGUACAUGAGGAUCUCAUGUCACAAUCUGAAAAGUGUGUCAAUUAAUUUAUGCUAAUUCUUCACCCCCGCUGAGUAAGAUGUAGUCAUUGGUGGCGCGUAUUGGGUACAACUUUGGCGAGGGAUUCCCAAAAUGUACUUGUAGGACUCCUGUUAUGUUUUGAUUUAGCUUGCAUUGAUUAUUUUGUGCAGGUGUAGUCUGAUAUGUACUCCAGUUUUUGUUGUCAAGGUUUGUACUGCUCCAGUUUUUGCUGUGAAAAUACAGAGAACAAUACAGGGCUGGGCUGCUGCCCCCCCAUCAGAUUGCGGCCCUUGCCAGAUACGGCAUAGUUCAGCAACUUGAUAUGCUUAGCUUAUCCCAGAAUUUACAACCAAAGCAUAACAAAACUGUCGUCUUUUUGCAGGAAAAAGAGAUAGCACAGCUCCUGUUGGCGUGUGACCCACCCUCUGUCCAUCGUUUCUCCUCUCUCGGAGUGCCGAUGGCUCAUGUCUUCUAGCAGCCAAGAUCUGGACAAAUUGUGAUGGUCGUUUAUCUCCUGUUUGCGUGAAGUCAUCAUAUGGAUGUGUUUCUUAAUCUAGAAAUAUUUUGCUUGAGGUGUUGCUGCUGAAGAAUUAAGACUUAACUGUAUCAAGUUUGAUUUGUGGAUAGGCGACAUUCUACAUUGUACUUUGUGUAGGAACAAUAUGUUGUACAUCUAGAUUGUGAGCCCAAUUGACUUUUGACUACAUUGAAUUGGAGAAG